AAAAAAGACUGCCAUCAUGAUUGUUAAUGAAAUGCGCAAAGAUGGCAAGGAAUUCCAUGGCACCUAGUUACAGAACGAUCCACAACGAACCCCACCAAGCAACCAUCAUAAUGUUUUUUCUAGAAAGCAGCCAUUUCUAGGAAGCAGCCAUAAAGAAAGUUGGUGAACCAGGGGUAAUCAUAAUAACAGCUACUCCCUCCGUCCGAAAAUACUUGUCAUCAAAAUGAACAAAAAAGGAUGUAUCUAGAACUAAAAUACGUCUAAAUACAUCCCUUUUUAUCCAUUUUGAUGACAAGUAUUUUCGGACGGAGGGAGUACAACAGAAUUGUACAAACGGAGAAAAUUCUUCGACAUGGCAGAAGGAAUAGGUAUUGCUCUUGCGUUUAGUU
This 389-nucleotide long non-coding RNA is filed under the name Triticum aestivum (bread wheat). Its description in RNAcentral is "long non-coding RNA (TAES_LNC008607)". The stretch from base 187 to 321 matches the Rfam family "MIR1120/MIR1122 microRNA precursor family". The record is from RNAcentral. Lineage: Eukaryota; Viridiplantae; Streptophyta; Magnoliopsida; Poales; Poaceae.